Molecule: ribosomal RNA, 525 nt
Filed under: uncultured bacterium
Lineage: Bacteria
Description: bacterial SSU rRNA
Rfam family: Bacterial small subunit ribosomal RNA
Source: RNAcentral
UGGGGAAUAUUGGACAAUGGGCGCAAGCCUGAUCCAGCCAUGCCGCGUGAGUGAAGAAGGCCCUAGGGUUGUAAAGCUCUUUCACCGAUGAAGAUAAUGACUGUAGUCGGAGAAGAAGCCCCGGCUAACUCUGUGCCAGCAGCCGCGGUAAUACAGAGGGUGCAAACGUUGCUCGGAAUUAUUGGGUGUAAAGCGCGUGUAGGCGGUUUGGUAAGUCGGUAGUGAAAGCCCAUGGCUCAACCAUGGAAGUGCUGCCGAAACUGCCAGACUUGAGUCCCGGAGAGGGUGGCGGAAUUCCCAGUGUAGAGGUGAAAUUCGUAGAUAUUGGGAGGAACAUCGGUGGCGAAGGCGGCCACCUGGACGGGUACUGACGCUGAGACGCGAAAGCGUGGGGAGCAAACAGGAUUAGAUACCCUGGUAGUCCACGCAGUAAACGAUGAGCACUAGGUGUUGCGGGUAUUGACCCCUGCAGUGCCGACGCUAACGCAUUAAGUGCUCCGCCUGGGGAUUACGGCCGCAAGGCUA